RNAcentral lists this ribosomal RNA (492 nucleotides) under uncultured bacterium. RNAcentral describes it as "partial 16S ribosomal RNA". It matches the Rfam family "Bacterial small subunit ribosomal RNA", at positions 29 to 507 of the family's 1533-position model. The record is from RNAcentral.
AGUGAACGCUGGCGGUAGGCCUAACACAUGCAAGUCGAACGGCAGCACAGUAAGAGCUUGCUCUUACGGGUGGCGAGUGGCGGACGGGUGAGGAAUACAUCGGAAUCUACUUUUUCGUGGGGGAUAACGUAGGGAAACUUACGCUAAUACCGCAUACGACCUACGGGUGAAAGCAUGGGAUCUUCGGACCUUGCGCGAUUGAAUGAGCCGAUGUCGGAUUAGCUAGUUGGCGGGGUAAAGGCCCACUAAGGCGACGAUCCGUAGCUGGUCUGAGAGGAUGAUCAGCCACAUUAGAACUGAGACACGCUCCAGACUCCUACGGGAGGCAGCAGUGGGGAAUAUUGGACAAUGUGCGCAAGCCUGAUCCAGCCAUACCGCGUGGGUGGAGAAGGCCUUCGGGUUGUAAAGCCCUUUUGUUGGGAAAGAAAAGCAGCAGGUUAAUACCCCGCUGUUCUGACGGUACCCAAAGAAUAAGCACCGGCUAACUUCGUG